This 426-nucleotide ribosomal RNA is filed under the name uncultured Pseudomonadaceae bacterium. Its description in RNAcentral is "bacterial SSU rRNA". It matches the Rfam family "Bacterial small subunit ribosomal RNA", at positions 356 to 774 of the family's 1533-position model. The record is from RNAcentral. Lineage: Bacteria; Pseudomonadati; Pseudomonadota; Gammaproteobacteria; Pseudomonadales; Pseudomonadaceae.
GGGGAAUAGUGGACAAUGGGCGAAAGCCUGAUCCAGCCAUGCCGCGUGUGUGAAGAAGGUCCGCGGAUUGUAAAGCAUUUGAAGGUGGGCGGACGGGCAGGUACGUACUACUUGAUUGUGUUGACGUUACCGACAGAAUAAGGACGGGCUAACUCUGUGCCAGCAGCCGCGGUAAUACAGAGGGUGCAAGCGUUAAUCGGAAUUACUGGGCGUAAAGCGCGCGUAGGUGGUUAGUUAAGUUGGAUGUGAAAUCCCCGGGCUCAACCUGGGAACUGCAUUCAAAACUGACUGACUAGAGUAUGGUAGAGGGUGGUGGAAUUUCCUGUGUAGCGGUGAAAUGCGUAGAUAUAGGAAGGAACACCAGUGGCGAAGGCGACCACCUGGACUGAUACUGACACUGAGGUGCGAAAGCGUGGGGAGCAAACA